RNAcentral lists this ribosomal RNA (253 nucleotides) under uncultured prokaryote. Its description in RNAcentral is "partial 16S ribosomal RNA". It matches the Rfam family "Bacterial small subunit ribosomal RNA", at positions 524 to 776 of the family's 1533-position model. The record is from RNAcentral.
UACGGAGGGUGCAAGCGUUAUCCGGAUUCACUGGGUUUAAAGGGUGCGUAGGCGGGUAUGUAAGUCAGGGGUGAAAUCCCCGAGCUUAACUCGGGAACUGCCAUUGAUACUAUAUAUCUUGAAUGUUCUGGAGGUAUGCGGAAUAUGUCAUGUAGCGGUGAAAUGCUUAGAGAUGACAUAGAACACCUAUUGCGAAGGCAGCUGGCUACACGAAUAUUGACACUGAGGCACGAAAGCGUGGGGAUCAAACAGG